This 1572-nucleotide ribosomal RNA is filed under the name Triticum aestivum (bread wheat). Its description in RNAcentral is "partial small subunit ribosomal RNA". The record is from RNAcentral. Lineage: Eukaryota; Viridiplantae; Streptophyta; Magnoliopsida; Poales; Poaceae.
AUGCGCCGCCGGCCCAAGACCAAGAUCGUCUGCACGCUCGGCCCGGCCUCCCGCUCCGUCGACAUGAUCGAGAAGCUGCUGCGCGCCGGCAUGUGCGUCGCCCGCUUCAACUUCUCCCACGGCUCCCACGACUACCACCAGGAGACGCUCGACAACCUGCACGCCGCCAUGGACCGCACCGGGAUCCUCUGCGCCGUCAUGCUCGACACCAAGGGUCCAGAGAUCCGUACUGGAUUUUUGAAAGAUGGGAAGCCUAUCCAGUUGAGGAAGGGCCAAGAAAUUGUGAUCUCCACAGAUUAUAGCAUAAAGGGGGACGGCAAGAUGAUAUCGAUGAGCUAUAAGAAGCUAGCAGUUGAUCUGAAGCCAGGCAGUGUCAUAUUAUGCGCUGAUGGUACCAUCACUCUUACAGUGCUUCAUUGUGACAAAGAGCAAGGUCUCGUUCGCUGCUGUUGUGAGAACACUGCUAUGCUUGGUGAGAGGAAGAAUGUCAAUCUUCCAGGGGUCGUUGUUGAUCUGCCAACACUCACUGAAAAGGACAGGGAGGAUAUCCUUCAAUGGGGCGUCCCGAACAAGAUUGACAUGAUUGCUUUGUCGUUUGUCCGCAAAGGUUCAGAUCUUGUGGAGGUCAGGAAGGUACUUGGGGAGCAUGCCAAGUCAAUAAUGCUGAUGUCAAAGGUACGCCAUUCUCUCUCUUUUUUUUGUGGGUAUUACACUCGUGCACUUCCACCUAGCAGAUCAUUAAGAGUUAACUUGAAUGUGCAGGUUGAGAACCAGGAAGGAGUAGCUAACUUUGACGAUAUCCUGGCACAGUCUGAUGCUUUUAUGGUGGCAAGAGGUGAUUUGGGGAUGGAAAUUCCUGUAGAGAAGAUCUUUUAUGCACAGAAGGUGAUGAUUUUCAAGUGCAACAUUCAGGGCAAGCCAGUUGUGACUGCAACCCAGAUGUUGGAGUCUAUGAUCAAGUCUCCUCGGCCUACUCGAGCGGAAGCAACUGAUGUGGCCAACGCAGUUCUUGAUGGCACUGACUGUGUGAUGCUCAGUGGUGAGACAGCGGCUGGGGCUUAUCCAGAACUGGCAGUGCAAACUAUGGCCAAGAUCUGCUUGCAGGCCGAGUCAUGCGUGGACUAUUCUGCUGUUUUUAAAUCAAUCAUGUCAUCAGCCCCGAUUCCCAUGAGCCCAUUGGAGAGCCUUGCCUCAUCAGCUGUCCGCACAGCCAACUCAGCCAAGGCGACGCUUAUCUUGGUACUGACCAGGGGAGGAACAACUGCAAGGCUUGUAGCCAAGUACAGGCCAUCCAUGCCGAUACUGUCUGUGGUGGUUCCUGAGCUCAAGACGGUCGAGUUUGACUGGAUCUGCAGCGACGAGGGGCCUGCCAGGCAAAGCCUCAUCGUGAGGGGCGUGAUCCCUAUGCUCAGUGCUGGCACUGCCAAGGCGUUUGACAGCGAAGCCACGGAAGAGGCACUGAGGUUUGCCAUGAAGAACGCCAAGGAGAUGGGCCUUUGCAACGCUGGUGACUCCAUUGUGGCCCUUCACCGCAUCGGGAAUGCAUCUGUCAUCAAGCUCUUGACCGUGUAA